Non-coding RNA from Puma concolor (puma), 184 nucleotides. The record is from RefSeq and is a predicted model, not a curated record. NCBI's taxonomy places the organism in Eukaryota, Metazoa, Chordata, Mammalia, Carnivora, Felidae.
GAUGACGACAACCCACCUGUGUCUUUUGUGAAGUUCUCUCCAAACGGCAAGUACAUCCUGGCUGCGACCCUGGACAACACGCUGAAGCUCUGGGACUACAGCAAAGGGAAGUGCCUGAAGACCUACACCGGCCACAAGAAUGAGAAAUACUGCAUUUUUGCAAAUUUCUCCGUCACUGGUGGGA